Molecule: long non-coding RNA, 533 nt
Filed under: Musa acuminata (dwarf banana)
Lineage: Eukaryota; Viridiplantae; Streptophyta; Magnoliopsida; Zingiberales; Musaceae
Description: long non-coding RNA (MACU_LNC009971)
Source: RNAcentral
UCCGAUGGACUCACUUGGUUUCAUUCGGAAGAGUUCGUAAGAGUGCACAAGGAUGUUGAUUUUGGACUCUUUCACUCAGCUAGUGCCUUCAUGAGUGACCUCAAGAGUUCUCCAAAUAUCAAAAGCCGAAUCACACAUUGAAACACGAUUAAAUUCGUUUUUGUCUAAUGCACAAAACAAGGCAUUCAUAGCCUUUGCAUUUAAAGCAAAAACCUUCUUCUCCGAUUCAUUCCAUUCGCUCAUCGGAAGAGAAGAUUUUUGAAAUCCAUUCUCAACAAUAGACCAAAGCUCAAAGUCCAUAGAAAUGAGGAAGAUCCUCAUGCGAGUCUUCCAAUAUGUGUAAUCCGACCCAUUAAACAAAGGUGGUCGUGCAAUAGAAUGGCCCUCUUGCAUGCCGGAGUAAGCCAUCUCUCUUGGGUAUUAAACCAAAUAUGAGAUAUAACCUUGCUCUGAUACCACUUGUUAGGAUCGGAGCGGCACUAAGAGGGGGGGUGAAUUAGUGCAGCGGAUUAAAACUUCGAUUUUAAUCAAAA